GCUCGCCGAGAGACUUCCUCUUCGUUAAGUCGGCCUUCCCAACAUGGCGCAGUCUAUUAACAUCACGGAGCUGAAUCUGCCGCAGCUAGAAAUGCUCAAGAACCAGCUGGACCAGGAAGUGGAGUUCUUGUCCACGUCCAUUGCUCAGCUCAAAGUGGUACAGACCAAGUAUGUGGAAGCCAAGGACUGUCUGAACGUGCUGAACAAGAGCAACGAGGGUAUGGGGUAGGCGGGUGAGGGUAACCUAAAGUGGCGAACCUGCUUCUCUCGUCCCACCUCCUAACCCAGUUUUUCUUACCUGAAACGAGAAAAUCCAUUACAUAUCGUAUACCGCUUCAUGAACCCUUUGCAUGUUGCCUGCCUAGAAUUGAAAAGUACAGGACAUUCCUCUGCUCCUAUUGCCCCUGUUUCCGUUCUUUUCACACUGUCUGUGGGUGCUGUGCCCUGUUGGAACUCUCUUUAACGUCUUACGUUGGAGCCGCUAACCUUCCCCAGGUGUUUGUCUUCAUUGCUUUCACAGGGAAAGAAUUACUCGUCCCACUGACGAGUUCUAUGUAUGUCCCUGGGAAGCUGCAUGAUGUGGAACACGUGCUCAUCGAUGUGGGAACUGGGUACUAUGUAGAGAAGACAGCUGAGGAUGCCAAGGACUUCUUCAAGAGGAAGAUAGAUUUUCUAACCAAGCAGAUGGAGAAAAUCCAACCAGCUCUUCAGGAGAAGCACGCCAUGAAACAGGCCGUCAUGGAAAUGAUGAGUCAGAAGAUUCAGCAGCUCACAGCCCUGGGGGCAGCUCAGGCUACUGCUAAGGCCUGAGAGUUUUUGCAGAAAUGGGGCAGAGGGACACCCUUUGGGCGUGGCUUCCUGGUGAUGGGAAGGGUCUUGUGUUUUAAUGCCAAUAAAUGUGCCAGCUGGGCAGAAUGUUGGUCUUUUCUUGGAUUAAGCAAGGGACUGGUGAUGAGAUGGGGGGUGUGGUCGAGAGUGUGGGCCCCGUCUCAGAGCCUGAUGCGCAGGGGUGAUGCGAUGCGCCUCUUGGAGGCUCCAUCGCAGGGCCCUUUGACCAGCUGGAAGAAAUCCUAGGCUGGGAGUCUGCUGCUGCUCACUCUGCAGAGCUGGUUGCCAAGGGAACGGUUGGCAAGCGGAAGUGGGGCUGCGCUGGCGCUUCCUCUUCCGGGUCGGCGCUCCUGCCUCCCUGCAGGGAGCUGCUUAUGGGACACCAAUUCCUGCGCGGCCUCUUAACGCUGCUGCUGCCGCCGCCACCCCUGUAUACCCGGCACCGCAUGCUCGGUCCAGAGUCCGUCCCGCCCCCAAAACGAUCCCGCAGCAAACUCAUGGCACCGCCCCGAAUCGGGACGCACAAUGGCACCUUCCACUGCGACGAGGCACUGGCAUGCGCACUGCUUCGCCUCCUGCCGGAGUACCGGGAUGCAGAGAUUGUGCGGACCCGGGAUCCCGAAAAACUCGCUUCCUGUGACAUCGUGGUGGACGUGGGGGGCGAGUACGACCCUCGGAGACACCGAUAUGACCAUCACCAGAGGUCUUUCACAGAGACCAUGAGCUCCCUGUCCCCUGGGAAGCCGUGGCAGACCAAGCUGAGCAGUGCGGGACUCAUCUAUCUGCACUUCGGGCACAAGCUGCUGGCCCAGUUGCUGGGCACUAGUGAAGAGGACAGCAUGGUGGGCACCCUCUAUGACAAGGUGGGGACCUGAGGACAGAGAUGCCCCCCACAUGCAUUUCCAGCAGGCCGCCUGGGAGCAGUGCUCACACAGCACUCAGCACUGGGCCUCGGGUCAGGGUUCCUGGCCUAUAGCAGGCCCAACACUCAUCCUCUCCCUCAGUCAGGCUCAUCUCACAAGGGAAUGGUGAUACCUCCCCUGUCUACAUCCUGGGGUGGUUGUGAGAAGUGGAUGCUGUAAUAUAUGGGGAAGGGCUUUGAAAACCAUAAAGCAGCAUGGCCCCGUCUUUUUAUUGACACACACAAACAGCAAUUGCUCAGCACCUUUGGGUAAACAGAGGGGAGGCUGCUUAUGUGUGGAAGCAGAUGGCUCAGAGGUUCUGGCUGCCCUGAAGGUUGAGGGGAGUGUAUGUUAGGCACCACUGUAGUUCACUAGUGGCACAUAAAUUGGGAAGCUCAGCUGAGAAGAGUUUUAUUAUGAAACUGUCUUUGGAUUCCACCAGUGUCCCCUGCAAGCAGCUUCCUGCUCUUAGGGAAAGAAUAUGGCUAGUGGCCCUGGCAUGCAAGUCAGGUCGCACAGUACUGAGGACACUUACUUGUUUACAAGUCAAAGCCCAGGUUCAGUCAGCUGUAUUUCUUGCAGGUAGGCUGUUGAAUUCAGUUCUCAGUUUUUUUGUUGUUUUUUGUUUUGAGAUGGAGUCUUGCUCUGUCGCCCAGGCUGGAGUGCAGUGGCGCAAUCUUGGCUCACUGCAAGCUCCGCCUCCCGGGUUCACGCCAUUCUCCUGCCUCAGCCUCCCGAGUAGCUGGGACUACAGGCGCCCAUCACCAUGCCCGGCUAAUUUUUUGUAUUUUUAGUAGAGGUGGGGUUUCACCGUGUUAGCCAGGAUGGUCUUGAUCUCCUGACCUCGUGAUCUGCCCACCUCAGCCUCCCAAAGUGCUGGGAUUACAGGUCUGAGCCACUGCACCCGGCCCAUCAGUUCUCAGUUUUAGCUUGCCCAUUUUCUGCCCUCUGUAACUAUAGAGUUUUUGGAAUAUCAAGAUUUUAGACUGCCUGGGUCAGUUUUCCCUUCCACUGCUGAAGGGUUUCUAAACAACUGACUAAAUUUUUGUUGUUGUUUUUUUUUGUUUUUUUGAGACGGGGUCUUGCUCUGUCAUCCAGGCUGGAGUGCAGUGGCACAAUCUCAGCUCACUGCUACCUCCGCCUCCUGGGUUCAAGCGAUUCUCCUGCCUCAGCCUCCCAAGUAGGUGAGAUUACAGGCGCCUGCCACCACGCCUGGCUAAUUUUUUAUUUUUAGUAGAAACGGGGUUUCACCGUGUUAGCCAGGCUGGUCUCAAACUCCUGACCUCAAGUAACGCACCCACCUUGGCCUCCCAAAGUGCUGGGAUUACAGGCGUGAGCCACUAAUCCCAGCAACAAUUGACUAAAUUUAACCCGUAUUUUUUUUUGAGAGACUGUUGCCCAGGUUGGAGUCCAGUGGUGCCAUCAUGGCUUGCUGCUGCUUUGAACUCCUGGGCUCAAGCAGUCUUCCCACCUCAGCCCCCCAAGUAGCUGAGACUACAGGUGCAUGCCACCAUGCCUGGCUAAUUAUAUAUCUUAAUUUUUUUGUAGAGAGGGUCUUGCUAUGCUGCCCAGGCUGGACUCAAAAACUCCUGGGCUCAAGUGAUCCUCCCACCUCAGCCUAAACCCAUGUUUUUUUUUUUUUUUUUUUUUUUUUGAGACGGAGUCUCGCUCUGUCGCCCAGGCUGGAGUGCAGUGGCGGGAUCUCGGCUCACUGCAAGCUGCGCCUCCCAGGUUCACGCCAUUGUCCUGCCUCAGCCUCCCAAGUAGCUGGGACUACAGGCGCCCGCCACUACGCCCGGCUAAUUUUUUGUAUUUUUAGUAGAGACGGGGUUUCACCGUUUUAGCCGGGAUGGUCUCGAUCUCCUGACCUCGUGAUCCGCCCGCCUCGGCCUCCCAAAGUGCUGGGAUUACAGGCGUGAGCCACCGCGCCCGGCCUAAACCCAUGUUUUAACUGAGCAUCAGGUUGGGAUCCAAACCAAGAAGAGCUGGGCAUAGGAGUUACUUUCUCAGUGCUCUGAGAGUAGCACUUUUCUACAUACCACAGGUGUACUGUUAUGGAGGCCUAUUUUGUAGGGUAAUUUUGCAUAAAGUUUCUGCCCCGAGACUCUUGAGGCAUUAUCCUACCAUUUAUUCAGACCCAGGAGACAACUGCUGAUGUCAUGAGGCACAUUAUGGGCUUCCCUGGAACCCUAACCCAGCAACCAGCUUUUGGUGUCUAGUCUCACACUCAUUUUCUCCCACUUGACUUGUGUUCUCAACCAGAGCCGCUCCUGCACCUCAUUAACCGUGUCACUGAAUACCUACUCACCCCACCUGGAGAUUUACCAGCCUUCAGCCACAGGGACCCACUCCCACAGAGAGCCUCUAGCACCUAGAGACCUUCCUUGUUCAAAAGUUAGCAGUCCCCUCCCUACACGUGUUGGCUUUGGUUUGGGCUUUGUGCAGCAGAAUGAGCAUGGAUUAGAAAUCAGGUGAUCUGAAUUCCAGUCACAGCACAACGAGCUGUCUGAGCUUCAGCGAGCUGCUGAACUUGCCAAUUCUCCCUUUUCUCAUCCAGUUAAUGUUGAGAGAUCCUCACAGGGCUGAAAGAGUGUGUAUGAACAUACUUUGAAUCAUGUAAGAUUUCACAUAAGUAGCAGGUAGCCUCAAGAAGGUUUCCCCUGCUGCUGCCUUAGAUGUAUGAGAACUUUGUGGAGGAGGUGGAUGCUGUGGACAAUGGGAUCUCCCAGUGGGCAGAGGGGGAGCCUCGAUAUGCACUGACCACUACCCUGAGUGCACGAGUUGCUCGACUUAAUCCUACCUGGAACCACCCCGACCAAGACACUGAGGUAAGGUGGCCUGGGAGGAGACCCGGAGACCUGUAAGAACCUUGGGUGGGGGGAAAAUGGGAGCAUUUGCUCCUCCUAAGCCCUAGCAAAUUCCAAGUUUGGGCCAGCAUCAUGGUUCUAAUUCUCAUCAUUCCCAGGCAGGGUUCAAGCGUGCAAUGGAUCUGGUUCAAGAGGAGUUUCUGCAGAGAUUAGAUUUCUACCAACACAGCUGGCUGCCAGCCCGGGCCUUGGUGGAAGAGGCCCUUGCCCAGCGAUUCCAGGUAUAGGCCUUGGAGGAGGCAUUAUGGCUUGAGGAUUACUGACUGCCAAUCAACAGGAACUCCUGCUUCUUCUACCCUAAACCCUGGAGUGCAGUGGCAGACAACCUCAACCUCUUAGGCUCAAGCAGUCCUCCCACCUCAGCCUCCUGAGUAGCUGGGACUACAGGCACACACCACCUCACCCAGCUAAUUUUUGUAUUUUUUGUAGAGACAGGGUCUUACUUUGUUGCCUAGGCUAGUCUCAAAUUCCUGGGCUCAACUGAUCCUCCCACCUCAGCCUCCCAAAAUGUUGUGACUACAAACAUGAUCACCAUGCCCAGCCUACCUUAAACCUUCUAGCUAUGCUCUCCCUCUUUCAGGUGGACCCAAGUGGAGAGAUUGUGGAACUGGCGAAAGGUGCAUGUCCCUGGAAGGAGCAUCUCUACCACCUGGAAUCUGGGCUGUCCCCUCCAGUGGCCAUCUUCUUUGUUAUCUACACUGACCAGGCUGGACAGUGGCGAAUACAGUGUGUGCCCAAGGAGCCCCACUCAUUCCAAAGCCGGCUGCCCCUGCCAGAGCCAUGGCGGGGUCUUCGGGACGAGGCCCUGGACCAGGUCAGUGGGAUCCCUGGCUGCAUCUUCGUCCAUGCAAGCGGCUUCACUGGCGGUCACCACACCCGAGAGGGUGCCUUGAGCAUGGCCCGUGCCACCUUGGCCCAGCGCUCAUACCUCCCACAAAUCUCCUAGUCUAAUAAAACCUUCCAUCUCAUAC
Long non-coding RNA from Homo sapiens (human), 5568 nucleotides. NCBI's taxonomy places the organism in Eukaryota, Metazoa, Chordata, Mammalia, Primates, Hominidae. The record is from Ensembl.